GGAGGUUGGCUUAGAAGCAGCCACCCUUUAAAGAGUGCGUAAUAGCUCACUGGUCGAGUCUUUCUGCGCCGAAAAUGUAACGGGGCUCAAGCUAGAUGCCGAAGCCGUGGAUCAAUGCAAAUUGGUGGUAGGGGAGCGUCGCGCGUUAGGUAGAAGGAUGACCGUGAGGGCGUCUGGACGAAGCGCGAGUGAGAAUGCCGGUAUGAGUAGCGAAAAAGAGCGUGAGAAUCGUUCUGGCCGAAAACCCAAGGUUUCUUAAGCAAGGCUCGUCCUCUUAAGUUUAGGCGGUCCUAAGGCGAGGCCGAGAGGCGUAGUCGAUGGACAGCAGGUUGAUAUUCCUGCCCCACGUUUUGGAGCGAUGCAGGGACGCGGUGAACAAGAUCAGCGGACUGCUGGAUGUUCGUGAGCGGGCGUAGGUGUGCCGUAGGUAAAUCCGCGGCAGGAAACCGAGACCCGGGACGCAAGAAGCCGCAAGGCGACUGAAGUGAUUGGAUGCACCGACAAGAAAAGCUGCUAAGCGAUGAAGAAACGUGACCGUACCGAUAACCGACACAGGUGGGUAGGCUGAGUAUGCUAAGGCCAGCGUGAUAACCCUCGCUAAGGAACUCGGCAAAUUAGCUCCGUAACUUCGGGAUAAGGAGCGCCCUCAGUAGGCUGACCACUUCGCGUGGAAGGUUGAAAGGGGUCGCAGUGAAAUGGCCCGGGCGACUGUUUAUCAAAAACAUAGGUCCCUGCUAAACCGUAAGGUGAUGUAUAGGGGCUGACGCCUGCCCAAUGCUAGUAGGUUAAGGGGAGGUGUGCAAGCACCGAUCCGAAGCCCUAGUGAAUGGCGGCCGUAACUAUAACGGUCCUAAGGUAGCGAAAUUCCUUGUCGGGUAAGUUCCGACCUGCACGAAUGGCGUAACGAUCUGGGCACUGUCUCGGCGAGGGACACGGCGAAAUUGUAGUCUGCGUGAAGAUGCGCAGUACUUGCAGCAGGACGGAAAGACCCCGUGGAACUUUACUAUACCCUGAUAUUGGUCUUCGGGGCCGCAUGUAGAGUAUAGGUGGGAGGCAUUGAAGCAGUGUCGUCAGGGGCUGUGGAGCCAACGUUGGAAUACCACCCUUGCGGUCGCUGAGGGUCUAACUCGGAUUAACAGAUCCGGGGACAUUGUCAGGCGGGUAGUUUGACUGGGGCGGUCGCCUCCUAAACCGUAACGGAGGCGCACAAAGGUUCCCUCAGCGCGGUCGGAAAUCGCGCAGAGAGUGCAAGAGCAGAAGGGAGCUUAACUGCGAGACCAACAAGUCGAGCAGAUGCGAAAGCAGGUUCUAGUGACCCGCCGGCUCAGAGUGGAAUGGCCGACGAUCAACGGAUAAAAGUUACCCCGGGGAUAACAGGCUUAUAGCGGCCACGCGCCCAUAGCUACGCCGCUGUUUGGCACCUCGAUGUCGGCUCGUCGCAUCCUGGGGCUGGAGUAGGUCCCAAGUACGAGAGGACCGGGUUGGACGGACCUCUGGUGUACCGGUUGUCGCGCCAGCGGCACACGCCGGGUAGCCAUGUCCGGAUCGGAUAACCGCUGAAAGCAUCUAAGUGGGAAGCCGACUCCAAGAUGAGGAUUCAGAGGCUCCAGGAAGACCACCUGGUGAUAGGCUGGAGGUGUAAGCACAGCAAUGUGUUCAGCUGACCAGUACUAAUAGCCCUAUGCUUUCUCCCC
This 1694-nucleotide ribosomal RNA is filed under the name fermentation metagenome. Its description in RNAcentral is "bacterial LSU rRNA". It matches the Rfam family "Bacterial large subunit ribosomal RNA", at positions 1096 to 2925 of the family's 2925-position model. The record is from RNAcentral.